CGCCUGUUUAUCAAAAACAUCGCUAAAAGUAGUUGAUUUUUAGUAGUACCUGCCCAGUGCGUAUUAUCUUGUUAACGGCCGCCUUAGCGUGAGGGUGCUAAGGUAGCGAAAUUCCUUGCCUUUUAAUUGUAGGCCAGCAUGAAUGGUUUGACGAGGGCCUCACUGUCUCUUAGUUCUAUGUUGAAAUUGUAGUGUAGGUGAAGAUACCUUCAUAAAAAAGUAAGACAAAAAGACCCCGUGCAACUUUGAAAAUUAAGCUAGAUUAAAUGGCAAAAGAUUUUUAGGUGGGGCGCCAAAAGAGGAAACUAUAACCUCUGCUGUUUAAGCUAAUUCUUACUGGAGUUGACCUGACUUAAGUCGAUCAAAGGAGAAGUUACGCCGGGGAUAACAGGCCAAUUCUUUAGUAAAGCUCGUAUUAACUAAAGGGCUUGGCACCUCGAUGUUGAAUCAGGGAUUAUAGCUUCAAGGCGUAGAUGCUUUGAUUAGUAGGUCUGUUCGACCUUUGAAACCCUACGUGAUCUGAGUUCAGACCAGA
Molecule: ribosomal RNA, 535 nt
Filed under: Crassostrea tulipa
Lineage: Eukaryota; Metazoa; Mollusca; Bivalvia; Ostreida; Ostreidae
Description: partial 16S ribosomal RNA
Rfam family: Bacterial large subunit ribosomal RNA
Source: RNAcentral